GACAGAGGGUGCAAACGUUGUCCGGAAUUAUUGGGCGUAAAGGGCUCGUAGGCGGUUUGUCGCGUCGGGAGUGAAAACACCGGGCUUAACUCGGUGCUUGCUUUCGAUACGGGCAGACUAGAGGCAUGCAGGGGAGAACGGAAUUCCUGGUGUAGCGGUGAAAUGCGCAGAUAUCAGGAGGAACACCGGUGGCGAAGGCGGUUCUCUGGGCAUGUCCUGACGCUGAGGAGCGAAAGUGUGGGGAGCGAACAGG
RNAcentral lists this ribosomal RNA (253 nucleotides) under uncultured bacterium. RNAcentral's name for it is "partial 16S ribosomal RNA". It matches the Rfam family "Bacterial small subunit ribosomal RNA", at positions 524 to 776 of the family's 1533-position model. The record is from RNAcentral.